Molecule: long non-coding RNA, 311 nt
Organism: Amphimedon queenslandica
Lineage: Eukaryota; Metazoa; Porifera; Demospongiae; Haplosclerida; Niphatidae
Exons: 3
Source: RefSeq, a predicted model, not a curated record
AUUGUUGAUUUAUUCAUGUACUGCAUGCAUAUGCUUACUGCUCCAACUCCACCCAUUCCAGUUUGUAAUAAAAUGGCUGAUUCUUCAAUGGUCUACACUCUUACUCCAGAGCUAUCCUUUUCACCAUCUACAGCAAGAGCAAAAACCACUUAUAAAAUUGGUUCAAAGUUAGUGAAUACUGAAACGAGACACACAGAGUACAAAGUUGGAAAUUUUGCUUUGAAUAACUUAGAGCAGCACAUAAGGAAGUAUGGUUCAGCGUUUUUAAAUUCAGGAGGUGGUACCCUAACAAUUGGUAUUGCUGAUGAUGG